CCUACGGGUGGCAGCAGUGAGGAAUAUUGGUCAAUGGGCGGGAGCCUGAACCAGCCAAGUCGCGUGAGGGAAGACGGUCCUAUGGAUUGUAAACCUCUUUAGGCGGGGAGCAAUGCCGGGCACGUGUGCCCGGAGGGAGAGUACCCGCAGAAUAAGCAUCGGCUAACUCCGUGCCAGCAGCCGCGGUAAUACGGAGGAUGCGAGGGUUAUCCGGAUUUAUGGGGUUUAAGGGGUGCGUGGGGGGAUGUUUAAGUCAGCGGUAAAAUGUCCGGGCUCAACCCGGGCCGGCCGUUGAAACUGGGGGUCUUGAGUGGGCGAGAGGUAUGCGGAAUGCGUGGUGUAGCGGUGAAAUGCAGAGAUAUCACGAAGAACGCCGAUUGCGAAGGCAGCAUACUAGCGCCCGACGGACGCUGAGGCACGAAAGCGUGGGGAUCAAACAGGAUUAGAUACCCGAGUAGUC
This 460-nucleotide ribosomal RNA is filed under the name uncultured bacterium. Its description in RNAcentral is "partial 16S ribosomal RNA". It matches the Rfam family "Bacterial small subunit ribosomal RNA", at positions 338 to 795 of the family's 1533-position model. The record is from RNAcentral.